Molecule: ribosomal RNA, 2004 nt
Filed under: Triticum aestivum (bread wheat)
Lineage: Eukaryota; Viridiplantae; Streptophyta; Magnoliopsida; Poales; Poaceae
Description: partial small subunit ribosomal RNA
Source: RNAcentral
AUGCAUGGCAAGCGUGACCGUCGCAUCGGCGACCGUUGUCUUUCCGUCUUAACCGAUGAGAAGCAGGAUAUAAGCGAUCUGCUUGGUUACAUCCAUGGUUUCUACAGGGAGGCGCUCGAUCUGCUGCCGAUAGCGGCGAUUCCCUCACUGGUCCCGCGCCUCCUCAAGGCCGGCAUGCCCAUCGGCUUCCUCGACCCAGUCUCCAACAUCAUCGCCAACACCAUCGCCUACACCCCUUCACCGACGCCUGGAUCCGACCAGGAGGAGGAGGCGCCGUCGUCGGAGUGGAUCUCUAAGAUCAUCACCGACACGAACGACAACUCUGUCUUCAGAGUACCGCUUUCCCGGCAAAAUGCCCAUGGCAUGACCCUCGCGCGGCGGUCGCUGGACGGUCUUGUCAGCUUCCUCACCUCCCACUACCGCUACCUCAUCAGCAGGGAAGCCAUGAGCUACCUGCUCCUGGCCAGGGCCGAUCUUCUCACCGCUGUGCGCCUCAUCGAGCACAAGAGGCGCAAUGUGUUCAGUAUUACCUCCUCUACCAACAAGGUCGCUCUGGAAUGUGCUGCUGUGUCUGCAAGGCAUCCUGAACCAGAUGUCCUGGUGAAAGCGUCGCUGACUAUGGCCUCUCGCGAUGUCUCCAUGCUUUUGACUGGACAAGGCCCUCUCUCGCCUGCAACCCUCGAGAGCCUCGCCGAGCUGCUCAGGCAAGGCCCUACGGGCAUGGAUCUCAUCAACGUAUCACUGGAUCAUCUUCGUGUUAAUGAAGGCACUUGCCAAGCUGCCCCGGGACGGCCUGCGCAGGCAUCACCACUGCAGCCUCCUGAGGGUGGAUACUGCUAUGGCCCCAGGGAUCCUGUCUCCAACAUCAUCCUCAACACCAUCUGGUACGGCUCUAUGUUCCCCACGCCCCACAAGUUCGAGCUGCAAUUUAAGGUGGACAUGAUAUGCACACGCAUGCUUGCACGCAUCGAGUGCUGCUCCCUUUACGGCCUUGUUACCUUCCUUCGCACCUGUGCCCCUGAACUCACAGAGCACGACGCCAUCUGGUAUUUGUUCAGGAGCGGUGCGGAUGUACACAAGGCCAUCCGUGAGGUAAAGAAGCAUGGUCAUCAUGUGCCUGGCAAUUACCAGGACGCCUAUAUGCAAGCGGCGGUUGUUUCAUGGCACGAUGACCCUGAUGAGCUGGUCAAAUUUGCUACGUCUUCAUUGAACAUGGAGUCUGCCAAGUUGUUAGCACUAUUACAGGGCACACUUACCAACGACGGAGUCGAAUGCCUCACCAUGGCUCUGCCACAUAAAUCUCCAGCUACCAAGUCCCAGGAGCAGGCUCAGCAACCGAACCAGGUGACCUCAAGCUCACAGGUCUUGAGCAAGAACCAGAAAAUUUUCAUUUCAGAGUUUCGGAAAAAGUUUAGGCGCGACCAAAACUUCUUUGUCAGAAAGGUCAAGGCGGUAUUGAGCGACUACUCUCAGCGAAAAGUGGUGCACUAUAAACUUCAUAUCAUUUGUGACGUGAAUCCUAGGGUACCAGAUGGACCAAGCGUUGCUCUCGUUAAGAAGAAAUUCCAAUUUGAAUACUUCCAUAUCAACUUUUUGGCAACAGCGCCAAAUUCUGCUGUCGCAGCUCCAGAACUGUUCUUUGCUCAAUGUAGCAAUAGUAUCAAAGAGAUGCAGGAGAGACCAUCCUGGUGCACCCCUGUAUCGGAUUCUUCUAUAGAUAAUGCUCGAUGUUUCUCUUGCAAGUUUAAUGGGGCGAAGAUUGUGCAUCCAUGUGAUGAAACAUACUGUGGGUGCUACGAGGAUUUCAAACUUAUGGCUCAUGGUAAACAUGGCACUGGGAAUGAACUUCUUACCAGUUCCUGUCAUUCUCAUUCUGAUGUAAUGGCCACAAUGACACAAGAUUUCAUUUAUUUUUAUCCCAAUAUGGAUUCAAAGUUUGCAGAAAUGAACCCAAUCUCCAAUGUGGCUAGGAAGUUGAAAGAAUGGAAGGGUAGAAUCUUCUGA